AACGAACGCUGGCGGCGCGCCUAAUACAUGCAAGUCGAGCGAGAAGACGUAGCAAUACGUUUGUAAAGCGGCGAACGGGUGAGGAAUACAUGGGUAACCUACCCUCGAGUGGGGAAUAACUAGCCGAAAGGUUAGCUAAUACCGCGUACGCUCCUUGGACUUCGGUUCAGGGAGGAAAGCGAUACCGUGGGUAUCGCGCUCUUGGAUGGGCUCAUGUCCUAUCAGCUUGUUGGGAGGUAACGGCUCACCAAGGCUUCGACGGGUAGCUGGUCUGAGAGGACGAUCAGCCACACUGGCACUGCGACACGGGCCAGACUCCUACGGGAGGCAGCAGUAAGGAAUAUUGCGCAAUGGGGCAAAAGCCUGACGCAGCGACGCCGCGUGGGGGAUGAAGGUCUUCGGAUUGUAAACCCCUUUCGGGA
Molecule: ribosomal RNA, 422 nt
Filed under: uncultured bacterium
Lineage: Bacteria
Description: bacterial SSU rRNA
Rfam family: Bacterial small subunit ribosomal RNA
Source: RNAcentral